GCAAAAUUUUUGCAGAUGUUAGUUGCAGAAACACCCACAGAAGCUGCAGGUAGCCAAAAAUUAUACCAUCAUCUUCCUUGCUUUUAGAAUACACUGUCACCACAACUGCCAUCCUGCAACUUGGGGAGAAGAGGGUUUUGCGUUGUGUUACUCUUCAUAACUUGAGAAGAUCUUGGUAGUCUGGGCCCUCCUCUGCCUCAUCCUCACACCAAACAGGGAACCAUUUCCCUGUGUGUUCUGUAUUCAUUUAUCCAUCUUUUCUCUCCCUAUGCCUGAAUAUCUUCUCUUGCCCACCAUGGAGAAGACAACGUACUUUUCAUCCUUGAUCAAUCUGUAUUCAAUAUGAACAAUGAAAACAAUCUGGCAAACUGUGAUUGCUUUUGCAGUGUGAUUUGACAUGCGCAUGAUGUACUGGGAGCUUGAUAGCAGGCAUCUGUGGGGGACAAAUACCCACUGCUGGUUUCAUAUGGAAAGAAACUUAGGCACAGGCUGCCUUCAACUUGCGUUGACCUCUGGCUCCUUGAGUUAAUGUUGCUACCAGCUGCCUCCAAAGGGUAUCUUCUGGCCAUGCUGCAACGUGAAAAAGCCCUUCAGGUGCCAAAGCCAUGUGUAAGAAACUGAUUUCUUCUGGAGAGUCACCCUCUUGGAUGUUGCUGGCCCUUAUCUGUGAAAAGCCUCUUGCUAUCUCCUGAAGCCAGCAGAUGUUGUUGCUACAGACUUGCCUAGUUGGUGGGUUGGUUAUGAACUGAGACAGCUUGGAUGACUAAGGCAAAAAACACAUAAGCAGCAGCGUCCGAGGUUUCCUUAUUGGGAGGAAGUGAAAAUGUCCCCUUGUUGAAAGCCCUGACUUCUCUGGAGGGCCCCUUCCAAAGAUGAAUAGUUUUUGUUGUUGAUUUAGCCUAAAUGAACGGUGUCCUCAGCAGCUACUGCAGUGACUGCUGGUGUGAGUGCUUCAGGAACAAGGAGUGAUCUUUCUGACUUGGGGUGGAUGAGAGCAAUAGAGGGUGUUGAAAUAAACAGGAUUAAAGGAUUUCA
This 1035-nucleotide long non-coding RNA is filed under the name Numida meleagris (helmeted guineafowl). RNAcentral describes it as "lncRNA (ENSNMEG00000001665.1)". Lineage: Eukaryota; Metazoa; Chordata; Aves; Galliformes; Numididae. The record is from RNAcentral.